Molecule: ribosomal RNA, 204 nt
Filed under: Triticum aestivum (bread wheat)
Lineage: Eukaryota; Viridiplantae; Streptophyta; Magnoliopsida; Poales; Poaceae
Description: partial small subunit ribosomal RNA
Source: RNAcentral
AUGUUCUUGGUGGAUGCAGGCCCUGGUACCCCCAAAAUUUGUAUGCAAGAUGAGCUUACAGGACUGCCAAUCAAGCGAGCCACCAGGUUUGAGAAUAAGGUGGGAUCCAAGAAUGUAGUGGUUGGUGAAUCACUGAUCAAAAAGCGGAUUUUUGAGAGAUUCUUCAUCGAUCUAGUGGCCGGUGAAUCACUGAUCAAAGAGUGA